This 459-nucleotide ribosomal RNA is filed under the name uncultured bacterium. RNAcentral describes it as "partial 16S ribosomal RNA". It matches the Rfam family "Bacterial small subunit ribosomal RNA", at positions 330 to 793 of the family's 1533-position model. The record is from RNAcentral.
GCCAGACUCCUACGGGAGGCAGCAGUGGGGAAUAUUGCACAAUGGGGGGAACCCUGAUGCAGCGACGCCGCGUGAGUGAAGAAGUAUUUCGGUAUGUAAAGCUCUAUCAGCAGGGAAGAAAGAGACGAAAGUCUUGUGACAGUACCUGACUAAGAAGCCCCGGCUAACUACGUGCCAGCAGCCGCGGUAAUACGUAGGGAGCAAGCGUUGUCCGGAAUUACUGGGUGUAAAGGGAGCGUAGGCGGGGAUGCAAGUUGGGUGUCAAAACUACCGGCUCAACCGAUAGUCGCACUCAAAACUGCAACUCUUGAGUGAAGUAGAGGCAGGCGGAAUUCCUAGUGUAGCGGUGAAAUGCGUAGAUAUUAGGAGGAACACCAGUGGCGAAGGCGGCCUGCUGGGCUUUUACUGACGCUGAGGCUCGAAAGUGUGGGGAGCAAACAGGAUUAGAUACCCUUGUAG